This 1080-nucleotide unclassified non-coding RNA is filed under the name Hevea brasiliensis (rubber tree). The record is from RNAcentral. Lineage: Eukaryota; Viridiplantae; Streptophyta; Magnoliopsida; Malpighiales; Euphorbiaceae.
CAAAUGCCAGAAAGUUUUUGUUGUAUACAUUUAACUGUUUAGUAGAGACAACCAGAAACCUGAAAUGAAUAAAACAAAACUUCGGCCAAACUACAUUCUAACCUGGUGACAAAUUCUGGCAAUUUUUCUCUAGGAUUUUAUCAUUUUUCGAUUGCAUGAUUGAUACAAGUAAACCUAUUAUUACAAUAACAAACCCAAAGUUUUGAGGAGGAAGAAAGAAUUUAUCUUUCUCCUUUUUCUUCGUUGAAGAGCUCGUAAUGUGUUUCCAACAUCUCUGAUGUGCUUGGCUGGAGGGCUAACACCCUUCCUGACAAAUAAAGCAAUAAAGAAGCCCUCCUGAUCCUCUAUGAGAUCGGUUCUAAGCACACGUUGAGAUCCAUCAAAAAUUGGAUGACCUCGGCGAGCCCACUGGGGAAAGAUUGUUGUCAGUUCAAAACCAUAAGACGAAGCGAGAGGCAGAACAGAUUUGAUAACAUCUUCAUUCUCAACUUGGUUAACAGAACAUGUACUGUAAACAAUUCUCUCAACAGCUGGAAAAGAUAAUGCAUGUUCCAAAGCCUUUCUCUGGAAAGCCGCGAGCUUUUCUAGUCUAUUGACAUCAGAGUCUGUUGUAUAUGAGGGGAGCAGGUGAUCUAAUCUAUCAACAACAGUCCCAGAGCCUGAACAUGAUGGAUCUAACAGUAUUGCUUGAACCUUCGAGUACGCUGGAUCCUCAGGACUGAUGUUUAAGAAGUCUUCAUGCUUGAUUUCCACAUUAGUCGCUCCAGCCAGUUCAAUUGUGUCCUUCAGACGUUUAACCCUUUCUUUAUUAAGUUCACAAGCUAUUAUCUUUCCAUUUCCCUUCAUAAGAGCAGCUAGAUGAACAGUUUUGUUCCCUGGUGCCGCACAUGCAUCAAUGACCUCCCAUCUGGGUUUAGGCCCAAGAGCAACUGCAACCAUGGAACUUGCCUUACCCUGCAGAAAGACACUUCCACUUUUCACCAAAGGAUGAUCAUGCAAGUCAGUCCUUGGGGGUAAAAUCAACAGGUCAGGAACCAUUGCAUCCUGACAAACCUCGUACUGUUUCUUAAAUUCGACUAG